This 440-nucleotide ribosomal RNA is filed under the name uncultured bacterium. RNAcentral describes it as "partial 16S ribosomal RNA". It matches the Rfam family "Bacterial small subunit ribosomal RNA", at positions 338 to 795 of the family's 1533-position model. The record is from RNAcentral.
CCUACGGGAGGCAGCAGUGGGGAAUAUUGCACAAUGGGGGAAACCCUGAUGCAGCGACGCCGCGUGAGUGAAGAAGUAAUUCGUUAUGUAAAGCUCUAUCAGCAGGGAAGAAAAUGACGGUACCUGAGUAAGAAGCCCCGGCUAACGACGUGCCAGCAGCCGCGGUAAUACGAAGGGGGCAAGCGUUAUCCGGAUUUACUGGGUGUAACGGGAGCGUAGACGGCAGUGCAAGUCGGGAGUGAAAGGCGGGGGCUCAACCCCCGGACUGCUCUGGAAACUGUACGGCUGGAGUGCAGGAGAGGUAAGUGGAAUUCCUAGUGUAGCGGUGACAUGCGUAGAUAUUAGGCGGCACCCCAGUGGCGAAGGCGGCUUACUGGACUGUACCUGACGUUGCGGCUCGACAGCGUGGGGAGCAAACAGGAUUAGAUCCCCCAGUAGUC